CAGCCGCCACGGUAAUACGAAGGGGGCUAGCGUUGUUCGGAAUUACUGGGCGUAAAGCGCACGUAGGCGGAUAUUUAAGUCAGGGGUGAAAUCCCAGAGCACAACUCUGGAACUGCCUUUGAUACUGGGUAUCUUGAGUAUGGAAGAGGUGAGUGGAAUUCCGAGUGUAGAGGUGAAAUUCGUAGAUAUUCGGAGGAACACCAGUGGCGAAGGCGGCUCACUGGUCCAUUACUGACGCUGAGGUGCGAAAGCGUGGGGAGCAAACAGGAUUAGAUACCCCUGUAGUCCCUGUCUCUUAUAC
Molecule: ribosomal RNA, 301 nt
Filed under: uncultured bacterium
Lineage: Bacteria
Description: partial 16S ribosomal RNA
Rfam family: Bacterial small subunit ribosomal RNA
Source: RNAcentral